CAGCCGCCGCGGGAAUACGUAGGGUCCGAGCGUUGUCCGGAAUUAUUGGGCGUAAAGGGCUCGUAGGCGGUUUGUUGCGUCGGGAGUGAAAACCUACAGCUUAACUGUGGGCUUGCUUUCGAUACGGGCAGACUUGAGGCAUUCAGGGGAGAACGGAAUUCCUGGUGUAGCGGUGAAAUGCGCAGAUAUCAGGAGGAACACCGGUGGCGAAGGCGGUUCUCUGGGAAUGUUCUGACGCUGAGGAGCGAAAGUGUGGGGAGCGAACAGGAUUAGAUACCCCCGUAGUCCCUGUCUCUUAUAC
Molecule: ribosomal RNA, 301 nt
Filed under: uncultured bacterium
Lineage: Bacteria
Description: partial 16S ribosomal RNA
Rfam family: Bacterial small subunit ribosomal RNA
Source: RNAcentral